GAUGAACGCUGGCGGCGUGCCUAAUACAUGCAAGUCGAGCGAACGGACGAGAAGCUUGCUUCUCUGAUGUUAGCGGCGGACGGGUGAGUAACACGUGGAUAACCUACCUAUAAGACUGGGAUAACUUCGGGAAACCGGAGCUAAUACCGGAUGAUAUUUUGAACCGCAUGGUUCAAAAGUGAAAGACGGUCUUGCUGUCACUUAUAGAUGGAUCCGCGCUGCAUUAGCUAGUUGGUAAGGUAACGGCUUACCAAGGCAACGAUGCAUAGCCGACCUGAGAGGGGGGUCGGCCACACUGGAACCGAGACACGGGCCAAACUCCUACGGGGGGCAGCAGGAGGGAAACUUCCGCAAAGGGGGAAAGCCUGACGGGGCAAAGGCGGGGGAGGGAUGAAGGGCUUCGGAUCGUAAAACCUUGUUAUUAGGGAAGAACAAAUGUGUAAGGAACCAGGCACGUCUUGACGGGACCUAAUCAGAAAGCCACGGCUAACUACGGG
RNAcentral lists this ribosomal RNA (497 nucleotides) under uncultured bacterium. RNAcentral describes it as "partial 16S ribosomal RNA". It matches the Rfam family "Bacterial small subunit ribosomal RNA", at positions 28 to 507 of the family's 1533-position model. The record is from RNAcentral.